RNAcentral lists this ribosomal RNA (489 nucleotides) under uncultured bacterium. Its description in RNAcentral is "bacterial SSU rRNA". It matches the Rfam family "Bacterial small subunit ribosomal RNA", at positions 1032 to 1522 of the family's 1533-position model. The record is from RNAcentral.
ACACAGGUGCUGCAUGGCUGUCGUCAGCUCGUGUACUGAGAUGUUGGGUUAAGUCCCGCAACGAGCGCAACCCUGGUCGUUAGUCGCCAUCAUUAAUUUGGGCACUUUAACGAGACUGCCGGUGACAAACCGGAGGAAGGUGGGGAUGACGUCAAGUCCUCAUGGCCCUUAUGGCUAGUGCUUCACACGUCAUACAAUGGUCGGUACAGAGGGUUGUCAAGCCGCGAGGUGGAGCUAAUCUCUUAAGGCCGAUCGUAGUCCGGAUUGCACUCUGCAACUCGAGUGCAUGAAGUCGGAAUCGCUAGUAAUCGCAGGUCAGCAUACUGCGGUGAAUACGUUCCCGGGCCUUGUACACACCGCCCGUCACACCAUGGGAGUGGGGGAUACCAGAAGUGGGUAGGCUAACCGCAAGGAGGCCGCUUACCACGGUAUGCUUCAUGACUGGGGUGAAGUCGUAACAAGGUAGCCGUAGGGGAACCUGCGGCUGGA